AGUUGUUAGUGACGAUUUUAUUCUAUGUCUGAUCAUGAUAUAUUGGUAGAAAGAUAUAGUGCAGCUUUUAUUUUUAUACAUUGAAUUGUAAUUUUAGAAAGCUGAGACGGACAAUAAAUAGUAGUAGUUUCAAGAAAAUGACAACAAUCGCAAGAAUUUCACAAGCAAAUAUCGUGCAAGCUACAAGGAAACAUACAGCUACUGUGUUUUUUUUCCACGGUUCCGGUGGCACAGCAGAAGAUGUCAAAGAAUGGAUUGACAUUCUUAACAGAGAAAAACUACAGUUUCCACAUAUAAAAUUAAUUUAUCCCAGCGCACCAAGUCAACCUUAUACACCAAAUGACGGAAUGAUGCAAAAUGUAUGGUUUGAUCGUAUAGCAAUAUCUAAUCAAGUGCCAGAACAUAUAGAGUCAAUUGAUUCUAUGUGUCAAAAUAUAUCAGAGUUGAUCGAUAAAGAAGUAGCUAAUGGAAUUCCAUUUAACAGAAUAAUUUUGGGUGGCUUUUCAAUGGGUGGUUGUCUUGCAUUGCAUUUAACAUACAGAUACAAAACAUCCAUAGCUGGUUGCUUCGCUAUGUCUUCUUUUCUGAACAAUGGAUCUAUAAUCUAUGAGCACUUAAAAGCAAGGCCAGAACAUAAUAAGGUUCCACUUGUUCAAUAUCAUGGUACAGUAGAUACUUUAGUUCCUAUUAAAUGGGGUGAAGAGACUGCUAACAAUUUGAAGGAGCUUGGCGUAAAUGUAAAAUUUACACCGCUACAAAAUAUUGAUCAUGAAUUGAGUCGUGGAGAGAUUCAAAGUUGGAAAGAUUGGCUCCUUAAUAUCUUACCAGAUAAAUAAUUAUUUCCCCGCAUCGGAGAUUAAGAUCGCGAUCCUCCCUCCUCCAGCUUUCCUUGCCAUCCCUUUUAGCGUGUAUAUGCACGCAUGCGACGAAAGUGAAGAAGGGGCAAAUCGCGCCGACGAGUCCAUCGGCAACGAGUGCGCAGUGAAACGAAGAGGGUUGAACUGCGACGGAAUUGCUGCGCCUUUCGGAUAACUCCGGAUGGGGUGGGUGGUGGAUAGCCCCACUGGCCGCCUGGCGUUCUCGUUCUCGCUACCGAUGUCACGUCAUGACACGGACGUUUAUUUUUCGUCGCAGUAUCGACUUUUAUGAGAAAGAUAUAAAGCACACGUUAUCAGUUAUUAGUUGCAAUACAAAAUACCUCGAUGUGGAAUCGAUGUUUAACAACGAGGAACUUGCGAGGAGGGUGAACAUGAAAGGGAACGGAUUAGUGCGUGUCGAGCUAAAAAUAUUCCUAUAGGGGGAAAUCUUUAAAAAGAACGAGACAAUAUAGACACAUACACAUAGAAAAUAUAUAUACAUAUUAAUAUAUAUAUACAGGGUGGAAAACUUGUAUUGUAAAAACGUGGAACUGAUAUAUACACAAUGAUGGUGAUAUUUGCGACGAGCAAUUUCUACGGAGUGAACAUAAUAAAAUUGUAAGAAGGAAAAGGAAGGGCAGAGUGGACGCUCAUCGAUGUGCAAAUAAGUGUGUCCGGAGACGCGCCGGUGAACGCUCGAUGGUAAAUAAUAUGGCGCGUGUUGGGCCGCAGUUGGUGACGUCAAGGAUUGAAAGGUAUGUCGAUGGUUCGAUGUAAAGAGGCUGGGCAACGAAAGUGGAUA
Molecule: unclassified non-coding RNA, 1659 nt
Filed under: Camponotus floridanus (Florida carpenter ant)
Lineage: Eukaryota; Metazoa; Arthropoda; Insecta; Hymenoptera; Formicidae
Description: lysophospholipase-like protein 1, transcript variant X3
Source: RNAcentral